This 378-nucleotide ribosomal RNA is filed under the name uncultured organism. RNAcentral's name for it is "bacterial SSU rRNA". It matches the Rfam family "Bacterial small subunit ribosomal RNA", at positions 526 to 896 of the family's 1533-position model. The record is from RNAcentral.
CGGGGGGGCGAAGCGUUGUUCGGAAUUACUGGGCGGUAAAGGGACGUCGUAGGUGGCCAACUCAGUCGGACGUGAAAUCCCUCCGGCUUAACCGGGGAACGUGCGUCCGAUACUGGAUGGCUUGAGAUCGGGAGGAGGGAUGCGGAAUUCCAGGUGUAGCGGUGAAAUGCGUAGAUAUCUGGAGGAACACCGGUGGCGAAGGCGGCAUCCUGGACCGACACUGACACUGAGGAGCGAAAGCCAGGGGAGCAAACGGGAUUAGAUACCCCGGUAGUCCUGGCCCUAAACGAUGAAUGCUUGGUGUGACGGGUAUCGAUCCCUGUCGUGCCGAAGCUAACGCAUUAAGCAUUCCGCCUGGGGAGUACGGUCGCAAGGCUG